GUGAAAGUUAACUGAAAAGGGCUUAAGUCUGAAAGAGAAACACUCAGCACAUAAAACCAGGAAUAUCCAGGUACCUAAACUGGAGAUACUGCUGCAGCUGUACGCCUGAUUCACAUCGUGCCAGCUCACUUUGUGCCAGAGCUAACGUGAGAGCCCUUUGCAAAUGGAGGGGAGUCAGCCAGAAGAGGGAAAAGGGGACACGUUCAAGGCGAUGUGGUACCAAACGUAGGGGGCUGGAGAACGGCUGAAAUCUAACAUCUGGUGUAACUGUACAAACCUGACCUUAGGUCACAGUACUGAUCCUUUUGGCCAGAGAAGCAAACAAAGGCAUAAGGAAGCACCAGCGAUCUACAGCUUGGGCUCUUUAAAAAGGUUUUCAAAUAAGCAGUUGAACCGGAGGCAUCCAAAGUCAGCAAUGAAAACACAGGCGUGGGUCAGCCUGGAACACGGAGAUCCACAGCGCCUUCUCCCGCAGCCACAAACCGAGGACAACAGGCGAAUCUUUGGGCACAGCCGCGCGGGUGGGAGCCAGCAGCAUCCGGGAUGGCAAAGGGCUGGAUGCGGGAGGCUCCGGACCCACCAAGUUGUGAACAGGCAUGCAUUGGCAGGACAGUUAACAAACCCCCUAUAUUCUUCCCACCCAUUCUGCACUUUUCAUGACCUCUUCCUUUCAUCGGUAAAAGUAAAUUGAAUUCAGCACCUUUAAAGACCCUGUCUGGAUCCAUAACAUUCAUAACCAUGCUGUAACCAUGAAUGAAAAGCUAAGCGAGAGUAUGGUUUGUAUCCAAGGGCUCUUUUGCAUUUUAUAUGUUUACAUAUACCAGCCAAUGGUCAGCAAAUAAGCGCCACAGCUUGUAAUGAAAUGUUCGAACCAUCUGUUUUAAUCUGCGAUUUAAUUUCACUGUAAAAUAUUAAAGUUGUUCCGAUGGUUGGGUUGGUAUGGCUGUUUUAUAUGAAAAGGAUUGAAUAUCCCAGAGCAAUUAUACUGUACCAAGCACAUGCUAUGGGUAUUAUAUUCUGUAUUGUUAUUUUGUUCCAUUAAAAACAUUAAACAGCCUUCUUAAUACAGCA
This is a non-coding RNA of Phalacrocorax carbo (great cormorant), 1071 nucleotides long. Lineage: Eukaryota; Metazoa; Chordata; Aves; Suliformes; Phalacrocoracidae. The record is from RefSeq and is a predicted model, not a curated record.